Molecule: ribosomal RNA, 468 nt
Filed under: uncultured bacterium
Lineage: Bacteria
Description: partial 16S ribosomal RNA
Rfam family: Bacterial small subunit ribosomal RNA
Source: RNAcentral
GACGAACGCUGGCGGCGUGCUUAACACAUGCGAGUCGAACGGAAAGGCCCUGCUUUUGUGGGGUGCUCGAGUGGCGAACGGGUGAGUAACACGUGAGUAACCUGCCCUUGACUUUGGGAUAACUUCAGGAAACUGGGGCUAAUACCGGAUAGGAGCUCCUGCUGCAUGGUGGGGGUUGGAAAGUUUCGGCGGUUGGGGAUGGACUCGCGGCUUAUCAGCUUGUUGGUGGGGUAGUGGCUUACCAAGGCUUUGACGGGUAGCCGGCCUGAGAGGGUGACCGGCCACAUUGGGACUGAGAUACGGCCCAGACUCCUACGGGAGGCAGCAGUGGGGAAUAUUGCACAAUGGGCGGAAGCCUGAAGCAGCAACGCCGCGUGCGGGAUGACGGCCUUCGGGUUGUAAACCGCUUUCGCCUGUGACGAAGCGUGAGUGACGGUAAUGGGUAAAGAAGCACCGGCUAACUACGUG